RNAcentral lists this transfer RNA (122 nucleotides) under Siphoviridae sp. ctLqe90. RNAcentral describes it as "tRNA-Gln". It matches the Rfam family "tRNA". Rfam says of the family: Transfer RNA (tRNA) molecules are approximately 80 nucleotides in length. The record is from RNAcentral. Lineage: Duplodnaviria; Heunggongvirae; Uroviricota; Caudoviricetes.
GCGUUUGUAGCCAAGUGGUAAGGCACCGCACUUUGUUGGAUAGCAUUAGGGCCUCGAUAAGUUCAAGACUUAUAUCCAACCCCAUAAUGCGGGUAUCGAGAGUUCGAAUCUCUCCAGACGCA